GACGAACGCUGGCGGCGUGCCUAAUACAUGCAAGUUGAGCGCUGAAGUUUGGUACUUGUACCUACUGGAUGAGCAGCGAACGGGUGAGUAACGCGUGGGGAAUCUGCCUUUGAGCGGGGGACAACAUUUGGAAACGAAUGCUAAUACCGCAUAAAAUCUUUAAACACAUGUUUUAAGUUUGAAAGAUGCCAUUGCAUCACUCAAAGAUUAUCCCGGGGUGUAUUAGGUAGUUGGUUAGGUAAAGGCUCACCAAGGCGAUGAUACAUAGCCGACCUGAGAGGGGGGUCGGCCAAAAUGGGACUGAGAAACGGCCCAAACUACUACGGGGGGGAGCAGGAGGGAAACUUCGGCAAAGGAGGAAAGUCUGAACGAGCAACGGCGGGGGAGGGAAGAAGGUUUUCGGAUCGGAAAAAUCUGUUGGUAGAGGAGAAAGUUGGGGAGAGUGGAAAGCGCAUAAAGUGACGGUAACUACCCAGAAAGGGACGGCUAACUACGUG
This 497-nucleotide ribosomal RNA is filed under the name uncultured bacterium. Its description in RNAcentral is "partial 16S ribosomal RNA". It matches the Rfam family "Bacterial small subunit ribosomal RNA", at positions 28 to 507 of the family's 1533-position model. The record is from RNAcentral.